RNAcentral lists this unclassified non-coding RNA (208 nucleotides) under Hevea brasiliensis (rubber tree). Lineage: Eukaryota; Viridiplantae; Streptophyta; Magnoliopsida; Malpighiales; Euphorbiaceae. The record is from RNAcentral.
CAAUUGGAGUAGAAUUUUCUGCUUAACAGCAUUCUCUUGUAAUGAAUAUAGAAUAGUGCCAUUUUAUUUAACCACAUACAACAAUAUGUUGCUUUGUUUUUGGUUUGCUAUUUACUUCUUUGCCAAUUCUAUCACUGGAAAUUUUCAAGAUCGGUGGAACCAAAUAUUCCGGUCUUGCCUUAUGUAGGGAUGAAAUGAAUGAAGGUGG